RNAcentral lists this transfer RNA (77 nucleotides) under Maioricimonas rarisocia. RNAcentral's name for it is "Planctomycetes bacterium Mal4 tRNA-Leu". It matches the Rfam family "tRNA". Rfam says of the family: Transfer RNA (tRNA) molecules are approximately 80 nucleotides in length. Their secondary structure includes four short double-helical elements and three loops (D, anti-codon, and T loops). Further hydrogen bonds mediate the characteristic L-shaped molecular structure. tRNAs have two regions of fundamental functional importance: the anti-codon, which is responsible for specific mRNA codon recognition, and the 3' end, to which the tRNAs corresponding amino acid is attached (by aminoacyl-tRNA synthetases). tRNAs cope with the degeneracy of the genetic code in two manners: having more than one tRNA (with a specific anti-codon) for a particular amino acid; and 'wobble' base-pairing, i.e. permitting non-standard base-pairing at the 3rd anti-codon position. The record is from RNAcentral. Lineage: Bacteria; Pseudomonadati; Planctomycetota; Planctomycetia; Planctomycetales; Planctomycetaceae.
GACCGGGUACGCAAACCGGCAAAGCGGUCACGUUGAGGGCGUGGCGAUUUUGUGGGUUCGACUCCCACCCCGGUCAC